RNAcentral lists this ribosomal RNA (433 nucleotides) under uncultured Rhodobacter sp. RNAcentral's name for it is "bacterial SSU rRNA". It matches the Rfam family "Bacterial small subunit ribosomal RNA", at positions 8 to 485 of the family's 1533-position model. The record is from RNAcentral. Lineage: Bacteria; Pseudomonadati; Pseudomonadota; Alphaproteobacteria; Rhodobacterales.
AGAGUUUGAUCAUGGCUCAGAAUGAACGCUGGCGGCAGGCCUAACACAUGCAAGUCGAGCGGGCACCUUCGGGUGCUAGCGGCGGACGGGUGAGUAACGCGUGGGAACAUACCCUUUGGUACGGAAUAGCCUCGGGAAACUGAGAGUAAUACCGUAUGUGGUCGUAAGACGAAAGAUUUAUCGCCAAAGGAUUGGCCCGCGUUGGAUUAGGUAGUUGGUGGGGUAAUGGCCUACCAAGCCGACGAUCCAUAGCUGGUUUGAGAGGAUGAUCAGCCACACUGGGACUGAGACACGGCCCAGACUCCUACGGGAGGCAGCAGUGGGGAAUCUUAGACAAUGGGCGCAAGCCUGAUCUAGCCAUGCCGCGUGAUCGAUGAAGGCCUUAGGGUUGUAAAGAUCUUUCAGUGGGGAAGAUAAUGACGGUACCCACAGA